CUAUACAUGCAAGUCGAGCGGACAGAAGGGAGCUUGCUCCCGGAUGUUAGCGGCGGACGGGUGAGUAACACGUGGGUAACCUGCCUGUAAGACUGGGAUAACUCCGGGAAACCGGAGCUAAUACCGGAUAGUUCCUUGAACCGCAUGGUUCAAGGAUGAAAGACGGUUUCGGCUGUCACUUACAGAUGGACCCGCGGCGCAUUAGCUAGUUGGUGAGGUAACGGCUCACCAAGGCGACGAUGCGUAGCCGACCUGAGAGGGUGAUCGGCCACACUGGGACUGAGACACGGCCCAGACUCCUACGGGAGGCAGCAGUAGGGAAUCUUCCGCAAUGGACGAAAGUCUGACGGAGCAACGCCGCGUGAGUGAUGAAGGUUUUCGGAUCGUAAAGCUCUGUUGUUAGGGAAGAACAAGUGCAAGAGUAACUGCUUGCACCUUGACGGUACCUAACCAGAAAGCCACGGCUAACUACGUGCCAGCAGCCGCGGUAAUACGUAGGUGGCAAGCGUUGUCCGGAAUUAUUGGGCGUAAAGGGCUCGCAGGCGGUUUCUUAAGUCUGAUGUGAAAGCCCCCGGCUCAACCGGGGAGGGUCAUUGGAAACUGGGAAACUUGAGUGCAGAAGAGGAGAGUGGAAUUCCACGUGUAGCGGUGAAAUGCGUAGAGAUGUGGAGGAACACCAGUGGCGAAGGCGACUCUCUGGUCUGUAACUGACGCUGAGGAGCGA
This 724-nucleotide ribosomal RNA is filed under the name Bacillus pumilus. RNAcentral's name for it is "bacterial SSU rRNA". It matches the Rfam family "Bacterial small subunit ribosomal RNA", at positions 49 to 756 of the family's 1533-position model. The record is from RNAcentral. Lineage: Bacteria; Bacillati; Bacillota; Bacilli; Caryophanales; Bacillaceae.